UACGAAGGGUGCAAGCGUUAUCCGGAUUCAUUGGGCUUAAAGGGUGCGUAGGCGGGCUAUUAAGUCAGUGGUGAAAGCCCCAAGCUUAACUUGGGAACUGCCAUUGAUACUGAUGGUCUUGAGUACAUUUGAGGUGGGCGGAAUGUGUCAUGUAGCGGUGAAAUGCUUAGAUAUGACACAGAACACCGAUUGCGAAGGCAGCUCAUUAAGCUGUAACUGACGCUGAGGCACGAAAGCGUGGGGAGCAAACAGG
This 253-nucleotide ribosomal RNA is filed under the name uncultured bacterium. RNAcentral's name for it is "partial 16S ribosomal RNA". It matches the Rfam family "Bacterial small subunit ribosomal RNA", at positions 524 to 776 of the family's 1533-position model. The record is from RNAcentral.